Molecule: ribosomal RNA, 497 nt
Filed under: uncultured bacterium
Lineage: Bacteria
Description: partial 16S ribosomal RNA
Rfam family: Bacterial small subunit ribosomal RNA
Source: RNAcentral
GAUGAACGCUGGCGGCGUGCCUAAUACAUGCAAGUCGAGCGAACAGAUGAGGAGCUUGCUCCUCUGACGUUAGCGGCGGACGGGUGAGUAACACGUGGAUAACCUACCUAUAAGACUGGGAUAACUUCGGGAAACCGGAGCUAAUACCGGAUAAUAUAUUGAACCGCAUGGUUCAAUAGUGAAAGACGGUUUUGCUGUCACUUAUAGAUGGAUCCGCGCCGCAUUAGCUAGUUGGUAAGGUAACGGCUUACCAAGGCAACGAUGCGUAGCCGACCUGAGAGGGUGAUCGGCCACACUGGAACUGAGACACGGUCCAGACUCCUACGGGAGGCAGCAGUAGGGAAUCUUCCGCAAAGGGCGAAAGCCUGACGGAGCAACGCCGGGUGAGUGAUGAAGGUCUUCGGAUCGUAAAACUCUGUUAUUAGGGAAGAACAAAUGUGUAAGUAACUAUGCACGUCUUGACGGUACCUAAUCAGAAAGCCACGGCUAACUACGUG